AUCUAUGACCAUGCCACCGUGAAUGUGCCCAAUCCCAUCUGAUCUCGGAAGCUAAGCAGGGUCGGGCCUGGUUAGUACUUGGAUGGGAGACCACCUAGGAAGACCAGGUGCUGUAGGCG
This is a non-coding RNA of Pteropus alecto (black flying fox), 119 nucleotides long. Lineage: Eukaryota; Metazoa; Chordata; Mammalia; Chiroptera; Pteropodidae. The record is from Rfam.